Molecule: small nucleolar RNA, 104 nt
Organism: Callithrix jacchus (white-tufted-ear marmoset)
Lineage: Eukaryota; Metazoa; Chordata; Mammalia; Primates; Cebidae
Source: Ensembl
GACCUUCUGUAGUUCAUAAAUGUGAUGAUCGGGUUUUCAUGGGCAUGUGUUCGAUGUACCCUACUCAACCCUUGUUACAAGGUUAUCUCUUUAUCUGUCUGGAA